This 74-nucleotide transfer RNA is filed under the name Chelonia mydas (Green sea turtle). It matches the Rfam family "tRNA". From Rfam's summary of the family: Transfer RNA (tRNA) molecules are approximately 80 nucleotides in length. Their secondary structure includes four short double-helical elements and three loops (D, anti-codon, and T loops). Lineage: Eukaryota; Metazoa; Chordata; Testudines; Cheloniidae. The record is from Rfam by way of RNAcentral.
GUCUCUGUGGUACAAUCAGUUAGCGCAUUUGGCUGUUAACUGAAAGGUUGGUGGUUUGAGCCCACCCAGGGAUG